UGGCACUGCCUUUUAUCGUGUGACCCUGCAGGCACUGGGAUUUCGGUGGGGAAGAUCCUGGGACACUUUAUGAGAAAAGAAAUGGUCUUAAUCUCUGAGGCACUGCACCAUGUAACUUUCACACAACAUUUUGGUGCAGCGAGCAGGGUGAGCUUUGCAAGGACAGCACAGGCCUGCUUCCUUGGGAUCGCUUCUCUGUUUCAGUGAUCGUCAGCUUAAGGAAAUACUAAACUUUGGGUUCCAGAUAAAAACUUGAAACUCCGACAUGGCCCCCCAGACAUACCUGGGAAUUGGAGAAACAAAUGAUGUCCCGCUUGAAUGGACUAAAACUGGCAGCAACAUGGAAGGAGAGACAAUCACUGCUGCCUUGGACAAAGGAAGUACACCUGAUGACUUGGGUUGGAUAAAGAAAUUGUGCCAUCAAGCGGAGGAACUGGUGAAUUAUACUCACCAGCAGAUGAAUGCCUCCAAUCUAUUUCUGGCAAUGAUGGCCCUUUUGACUGUCCAGACUCAAGGACAAAAAUAUAAAUAUUGAACUUAUAUUCCUAACCCUCCUUUACUUUGAGGUGUUGGUUGGAACAUACCAUUCCUAUUUAUGUUGGCUUCCCGGUCCUUAUGACAGCAGAGGGCUGUUCCAGCCUAAUGAAGAAGGCAUGGUAAUUUCUAAUUAUAGUACUGGGGUGAUUGGUCCUCCUAUAUGUUUUGGAGACCACUCCCAUUGCCUCAACAUGUCUAUUCAAAUGUGGGCUAGUCUAUAUAGACAUAAGCCUGAAAACAAAGAACAAAUAUCUGAAAUGUUUAUGUUAAGUGCUUACUCUCCAAACAAGGUCUGUAUUGAUAAGAUUUCUUCCAAUCCUGAAUUACCACCUUGUAAAAUGCAUAUGUUUUCAGAAUGAAUGCGUACAUUGGACCAAAUGUGAAGGAGAUUUUGCACAUAUGUUUAUUGAUACCACAGGUGGAGAAGUCAUGGAUUGGGGACCUAUGGCUUACUUAAGAUCAGACUUGUAAUCAGCUUUGUCUUUAAAAGUUUUUAUAUAACGAGAGUAAAGUGUCAGCUUCAGCUUCUGAGUAUAUUUCAUGGAUAAAUGGAGGGUCCCCCCACCCCCAUUACCUGGAAUUGCCACAUAUCCUAAACAAAUGCAUUUGUGGAAAAAUGCUGUAGCUUUACAACCUCUUAAGGCUUGGACAGGAGGAUUAUUUUUCCAUAACAGUCUCCAAGAAUAUGAAAUGAAGUUUGUGGUAAAUGACACCAAGUACUCAAGCCUGUUUACAACUUCCUUUUGUGUGUCUAAAAGGAAAUGUUACUUGAAAUAAAGUAACAGGAGAAUUAUUUUGCUCUACUUGCCAAUUGUUUACUUGUGUUAACAAUUCUUUGAGUUUUAAUCCAUCUAAGGAACAAUUGUACUUGCUGAGAGCUCACACCGGAGUUUGGCUGAUGAUCAACUUAAACAGACCUUGGCAGGA
Nycticebus coucang (slow loris) is the source of this 1464-nucleotide long non-coding RNA. RefSeq lists it as uncharacterized. Lineage: Eukaryota; Metazoa; Chordata; Mammalia; Primates; Lorisidae. The record is from RefSeq and is a predicted model, not a curated record. The transcript is spliced from 3 exons.